CGNNCGGCAGCACGGAGCUUGCUCUGGUGGCGAGUGGCGAACGGGUGAGUAAUGCGUCGGAACGUAUCCAAUAAUGGGGGAUAACGCAGCGAAAGCUGUGCUAAUACCGCAUACGCCCUCCGGGGGAAAGCAGGGGAUCGUAAGACCUUGCGUUAAUGGAGCGGCCGACGUCUGAUUAGCUAGUUGGUAGGGUAAAGGCCUACCAAGGCGACGAUCAGUAGCUGGUCUGAGAGGAUGAUCAGCCACACUGGGACUGAGACACGGCCCAGACUCCUACGGGAGGCAGCAGUGGGGAAUUUUGGACAAUGGGCGCAAGCCUGAUCCAGCCAUUCCGCGUGAGUGAAGAAGGCCUUCGGGUUGUAAAGCUCUUUCAGGAGGGAAGAAACGAUUGUGGCUAAUACCCAUGAUUAAUGACGGUACCUUCAGAAGAAGCACCGGCUAACUACGUGCCAGCAGCCGCGGUAAUACGUAGGGUGCGAGCGUUAAUCGGAAUUACUGGGCGUAAAGCGUGCGCAGGCGGUUUUUCAAGUCUGAUGUGAAAUCCCCGGGCUUAACCUGGGAACUGCGUUGGAAACUGAAAGACUAGAGUGCGGCAGAGGGGGGUAGAAUUCCACGUGUAGCAGUGAAAUGCGUAGAUAUGUGGAGGAAUACCGAUGGCGAAGGCAGCCCCCUGGGUCGACACUGACGCUCAUGCACGAAAGCGUGGGUAGCAAACAGGAUUAGAUACCCUGGUAGUCCACGCCCUAAACGAUGUCAACUAGUUGUUGGGGAGGGAGANCUCCUUAGUAACGCAGCUAACGCGUGAAGUUGANCGCCUGGGGAGUACGGUCGCAAGAUUAAAACUCAAAGGAAUUGACGGGGGCCCGCACAAGCGGUGGAUUAUGUGGAUUAAUUCNAUGCAACGCGAAAAACCUUACCUACCCUUGACAUGUACG
This 935-nucleotide ribosomal RNA is filed under the name uncultured bacterium. RNAcentral describes it as "bacterial SSU rRNA". It matches the Rfam family "Bacterial small subunit ribosomal RNA", at positions 63 to 992 of the family's 1533-position model. The record is from RNAcentral.